CAAUAGGUGACUGAAAGUAAGUAAAGGUCUCUUAAACCUCUCAAUAAUAAUGUAACGCCUAUUCCUAUUGA
This 71-nucleotide transfer RNA is filed under the name Philonthus fimetarius. Its description in RNAcentral is "tRNA-Lys". The record is from RNAcentral. Lineage: Eukaryota; Metazoa; Arthropoda; Insecta; Coleoptera; Staphylinidae.